RNAcentral lists this ribosomal RNA (500 nucleotides) under uncultured bacterium. RNAcentral's name for it is "partial 16S ribosomal RNA". It matches the Rfam family "Bacterial small subunit ribosomal RNA", at positions 30 to 523 of the family's 1533-position model. The record is from RNAcentral.
AUUGAACGCUGGCGGCGUGCCUAAUACAUGCAAGUCGAGCGGACCUCUUCGGAGGUCAGCGGCGGACGGGUGAGUAACACGUGGGCAACCUGCCUGUAAGACUGGGAUAACUCCGGGAAACCGGAGCUAAUACCGGAUACUAUGUCAAACCGCAUGGUUUGACAUUCAAAGACGGUUUCGGCUGUCACUUACAGAUGGGCCCGCGGCGCAUUAGCUAGUUGGUGAGGUAACGGCUCACCAAGGCGACGAUGCGUAGCCGACCUGAGAGGGUGAUCGGCCACACUGGGACUGAGACACGGCCCAGACUCCUACGGGAGGCAGCAGUAGGGAAUCUUCCGCAAUGGACGAAAGUCUGACGGAGCAACGCCGCGUGAGUGAUGAAGGUUUUCGGAUCGUAAAACUCUGUUGUCAGGGAAGAACAAGUGCCGGAGUAACUGCCGGCGCCUUGACGGUACCUGACCAGAAAGCCACGGCUAACUACGUGCCAGCAGCCGCCGCAG